RNA transcript from Octodon degus (degu), 1687 nucleotides. It is a transcript of the gene named polyadenylate-binding protein 1 pseudogene, with no coding region annotated. The record is from RefSeq and is a predicted model, not a curated record. The transcript has a single exon. Lineage: Eukaryota; Metazoa; Chordata; Mammalia; Rodentia; Octodontidae.
CCCCACAGCAGCUCCAAGAAGGAACCCAGAGACCGAGGCCUUCCCGCCGAUCAGACCGACAUCGUCAGCCACUCCCCCGCUCCCGGCAGCCGCCCGCAGCAGCAGAUCGACCCCGUUCUGCAGCCGUGGAGUAGUUUUUGGUUCCGGUUGAUUUUUGUCCCUCUGCGCUUGCCCCCGCUCCCCUCCCCCUGGCUCCGGCUCCAUCCCGGGCUCCGGAUCCUGCACCUGCUCUGCUGCUCUUGGAAAGGUCGUGGCCUGUGGCCCUGCGGGCAGUCGUGCCGAGAUGAACCCCAGCGCCCCCAGCUACCCCAGGGCCUCGCUCUACGUGGGCGAUCUCCACCCCGACGUGACCGAGGCGAUGCUCUACGAGAAGUUCAGCCCGGCCGGGCCCAUCCUCUCCAUCCGGGUCUGCAGGGACAUGAUCACCCGCCGCUCCUUGGGCUAUGAGUACGUGAACUUCCAGCAGCCGGCAGACGCGGAGCGUGCUUUGGACACCAUGAACUUUGAUGUUAUAAAAGGCAAGCCAUGUGGUCUCAGUGUGAUCCAUUACUUCGCAGAAGUGGAGUAGGCAACAUAUUCAUUAAAAAUCUGGACAAAUCCAUUGAUAAUAAAGCACUGUAUGAUACAUUUUCUGCUUUUGGCAACAUGCUUUCAUGUAAGGUGGUUUGUGAUGAAAAUGGUUCCAAGGGCUAUGGAUUUGUACAUUUUGAGACCCAGGAAGCCCCUGAAAGAGCUAUUGAAAAAAUGAAUGGGAUGCUUCUAAAUGAUCGCAAAAUAUUUGUUGGACGAUUUAAGUCUCGUAAAGAACGAGAAGCAGAACUUGGAGCUAGGGCAAAAGAAUUCACCAAUGUUUACAUCAAGAAUUUUGGAGAAGACAUGGAUGAUGAGCGCCUUAAGGAUCUCUUUGGCAAGUUUGGACCUGCCUUAAGUGUGAAAGUUAUGACUGAUGAAAGUGGAAAAUCCAAAGGAUUUGGAUUUGUGAGCUUUGAAAGGCAUGAAGAUGCACAGAAAGCUGUGGAUGAGAUGAAUGGAAAGGAGCUCAAUGGAAAACAAAUUUGUGUUGGUCGAGCUCAGAAAAAAGUGGACCGUCAGACGGAACUUAAGCGCAAAUUUGAACAGAUGAAGCAAGACAGGAUCACCAGAUACCAGGGUGUUAACCUUUAUGUGAAAAAUCUUGAUGAUGGUAUUGAUGAUGAACGUCUCCGGAAAGAGUUUUCUCCAUUUGGUACAAUCACUAGUGCAAAGGUUAUGAUGGAGGGUGGUCGAAGCAAAGGAUUUGGUUUUGUAUGUUUCUCCUCCCCAGAAGAAGCCACUAAAGCAGUUACAGAAAUGAAUGGUAGAAUUGUGGCCACCAAGCCACUAUAUGUAGCUUUAGCUCAGCGCAAAGAAGAGCGCCAGGCUCACCUCCCUAACCAGUACAUGCAGAGGAUGGCAAGCAUCUGAGCCGUGCCCAACCCUGUAAUCAACCCCUACCAGCCAGCACCUCCGUCGGGUUACUUCAUGGCAGCUAUCCCCCAGACUCAGAACCGUGCUGCAUACUACCCUCCUAGCCAAAUUGCUCAACUAAGACCAAGUCCUCGCUGGACUGCUCAGGGUGCCAGACCUCAUCCAUUCCAGAACAUGCCCGGUGCUAUCCACCCAGCCUCGCCUCAACCGCCAUUUAGCACUAUGAGACCAGCUUCCUCAC